UUAAAAAUCAGCGAAGUCUACUUCACAGACUUCAGCUUUAUUAUUCAGUUUGUUAUUUGAACAAAGUUUUAAAAAGUUGCCGAGAUGAAGAUGCAGUGUAAACCAAAGUGUAAACAUCUGUUACAGUAGAAGAGAGCAGGAGCUGGCUACAGUGCAAGGUUAUGGGCUUAUUCCAUGGAGCGGUUUACGUAAACAAAUGAGAUCUUGAAAGGCAUUAAGUUGCUGAAGUUGUAUGCCUAGGAGAGUAUAUUCUGCACCAGUGUGGAGGAAACUAGGAUGAAGGAACUGACCAGUCUGAAGACAUCCGCACUGCACACUUCCCUCUCCGGUGUUCUGAAGCUGAACAAAUGAUUCACAAGUAACCAGAUCUGGGAUGACACCAUGAGGAAUGGAGAUUCCCCCUGCUUGUUAGAUGCCUGCAAGAAACAUCCUGGAAUUGUAUGUGUCAUAAUAGAUUUAUAUUACACACAUCGUACUUUAAAGUGUUUUGUCUGUGCUUGUGUUUAAAUAUUUAGUUCUGCAGGUUUCAAAGUACUAAUUAUAGAAGUCACAGACACUUAUUUCACACUAUUUUCAAAAACCUAAGUUGUCCUAAAUGAAAAGUCAUCUGUUAUAAUCUGGCACCUGUGAUGAUAAUGGUAAGAAUUAAAAGUGGGCGAUGAAGAAACAACCGGCCUGCCCUGUGUUUAUUCAUACUGUCUAACAAUUGAAUUCUAAUUUCUGUAUUGUAGUUACUGUAGGAGUAAGAAUUGCAUGUAAGUCUGCUGUAACACCAAGCAGAUGUAGCGUUUCUAUUACACCUCACAGAUGCUUACCCUGCCUUGCACCACAACGGAUUGCUGAUUUUUUAUUCUUAAUGUAAGGGCCAUUUUAAUGAAACUAAUUUUGUAGAACACCUACAAAAUGUCUAUCUCCUAGAGCAGA
Molecule: long non-coding RNA, 924 nt
Organism: Pseudophryne corroboree (corroboree frog)
Lineage: Eukaryota; Metazoa; Chordata; Amphibia; Anura; Myobatrachidae
Exons: 3
Source: RefSeq, a predicted model, not a curated record